CUUAGUGGCGGACGGGUGAGUAACGCGUGGGUAACCUGCCUUACACUGGGGGAUAACACUUAGAAAUAGGUGCUAAUACCGCAUAAGCGCACGAAGCCGCAUGGAUUUGUGUGAAAAACUCCGGUGGUGUAAGAUGGACCCGCGUCUGAUUAGCUUGUUGGCGGGGUAACAGCCCACCAAGGCGACGAUCAGUAGCCGGCCUGAGAGGGUGAACGGCCACAUUGGGACUGAGACACGGCCCAAACUCCUACGGAAGGCAGCAG
This 263-nucleotide ribosomal RNA is filed under the name uncultured bacterium. RNAcentral describes it as "partial 16S ribosomal RNA". It matches the Rfam family "Bacterial small subunit ribosomal RNA", at positions 91 to 354 of the family's 1533-position model. The record is from RNAcentral.